AUACGUAGGUGCCAAGCGUUAUCCGGAUUUACUGGGCGUAAAGGGCGUGUAGGCGGUCUUGCAAGUCAGAAGUGAAAUUCCUGAGCUCAACUCGGGCGCUGCUUCUGAAACUGCAGGACUUGAGUGCUGGAGGGGAUAGCGGAAUUCCUAGUGGAGCGGUAAAAUGCGCAGAUAUUAGGAAGAACACCGGUGGCGAAGGCGGCUAUCUGGACAGUAACUGACGCUGAGGCGCGAAAGCGUGGGGAGCAAACAGGAUUAGAUACCCUGGUAGUCCACGCUGUAAACGAUGAAUACUAGGUGUGGGGGGACUGACCCCCUCCGUGCCGCAGUUAACACAAUAAGCAUUCCGCCUGGGGAGUACGGCCGCAAGGUUGAAACUCAAAUGAAUUGACGGG
Molecule: ribosomal RNA, 395 nt
Filed under: uncultured bacterium
Lineage: Bacteria
Description: partial 16S ribosomal RNA
Rfam family: Bacterial small subunit ribosomal RNA
Source: RNAcentral